Molecule: long non-coding RNA, 1057 nt
Filed under: Setaria viridis
Lineage: Eukaryota; Viridiplantae; Streptophyta; Magnoliopsida; Poales; Poaceae
Description: long non-coding RNA (SVIR_LNC001061)
Source: RNAcentral
CAGCUUCUCCAUGAAUUCAAAGUGAGCUCUCACUACAGAACAAUUCAAACAGAAGUUACUCCCAACAUAUGGGUUAAAAUAAAACCUGGAAGGCUGGAACUUUCCCAUGUUCAUUUACACACUGAAGGAACAUUUAAAACUCUAGUUGCUUAAAAAGUACAUGAUGGAACAAUUAAACUAUUAUAGUUCUUUACAAUUCUGGUUACAAAAUGAGAUUCUAAAAAAAGCACAAGUAUGGAGGUAGGAAUACCUAUAAGCAUUGAGGCGUCGAGAAGGUAACUAAAACCCUUGCAAGUCUAACCGUUGUCCUUGUGGUCUGCUGUCUAUUGUAUCUACAAAGAAUUGGAGAUGACUGGUGAGGUGUUCUGUACAAAGAAUUAGAGAUAAAUAAAAAAAUUUAAUGCCAAAUACAGGUUCUAUUGCAAUACUGUUAACUCUUGCAGUCUUGUUCAUGCACUAAGAAUUUCAAUGCCAAAUUCAGGUUAUUGACCAUAGAUUAUUCCUAUUCUAUGAAGAAUGAUCAACUACUGAAAAUAAUAUAUGACUUCCAUGCCUGAAACUGGAUCUAAUUAUCAUUAUGCAAAACUUGAAAACACAGAAAGAUAAUAGUUCACUCAGAUAAAACAUUUCAUACAAGGCAAAUGCAGCCUACCCUCUAAUUCCAAAAUUGCUCAUGUAUUUUGCCUUUCGUUUAUACUAUCAGGUGGUAGAAGUGACAGGCGGAUGUAUUUGCAUCUUCUUGUAUCUCAAACAAGGCAAUGUUGAUGCGUCAUAGUCUCCAGCUAUCACAAUUCACAAAAGCAAAUGAAUAUACCUUUCAGUCAUUCCCUCGAGCUGGUUGUGUGUGUCCUCCAUGCUGGAGUUGGAAAACAUGGUGGCUGCCGCUGGUUGCUUGCUGAAGCUGUAGGUUGCGAAGAAGAGGACAACGGGGUUGAUGUCGGCUUCCUGGCGGUCAGCACCUUCCUCCAGGCCGCGCCGAUUGGGGGGCACCGAGCUCGCAGAACGCAUCGCUUCAUCUGUCAUGAUCAGUGAGUGCCAUUAGAGAGGGCGCUCUGAA